AUUGAACGCUAGCGGGAUGCCUUACACAUGCAAGUCGAACGGCAGCGCGGACUUCGGUCUGGCGGCGAGUGGCGAACGGGUGAGUAAUGUAUCGGAACGUGCCCAGUAGCGGGGGAUAACUACUCGAAAGAGUAGCUAAUACCGCAUACGCCCUACGGGGGAAAGGGGGGGAUCGCAAGACCUCUCACUAUUGGAGCGGCCGAUAUCGGAUUAGCUAGUUGGUGAGGUAAAGGCUCACCAAGGCGACGAUCCGUAGCUGGUUUGAGAGGACGACCAGCGACAAGGGGACUGAGACACGGCCCAGACUCCUACGGGAGGCAGCAGUGGGGAAUUUUGGACAAUGGGGGCAACCCUGAUCCAGCCAUUCCGCGUGUGCGAUGAAGGCCUUCGGGUUGUAAAGCACUUUUGGCAGGAAAGAAAUCGCACGGAUUAAUACUCUGUGAGGAUGACGGUACCUGCAGAAUAAGCACCGGCUAACUACGUGCCAGCCGCCGCGGUAA
RNAcentral lists this ribosomal RNA (500 nucleotides) under uncultured bacterium. RNAcentral describes it as "partial 16S ribosomal RNA". It matches the Rfam family "Bacterial small subunit ribosomal RNA", at positions 30 to 523 of the family's 1533-position model. The record is from RNAcentral.